This 480-nucleotide ribosomal RNA is filed under the name uncultured delta proteobacterium. RNAcentral's name for it is "bacterial SSU rRNA". It matches the Rfam family "Bacterial small subunit ribosomal RNA", at positions 229 to 725 of the family's 1533-position model. Lineage: Bacteria; Deltaproteobacteria. The record is from RNAcentral.
GCCCGCGUUUCAUUAGCUAGUUGGUAAGGUAAUGGCUUACCAAGGCUUCGAUCAGUAGCCGACCUGAGAGGGUGAUCGGCCACACUGGAACUGAGACACGGUCCAGACUCCUACGGGAGGCAGCAGUGGGGAAUAUUGCACAAUGGGGGAAACCCUGAUGCAGCAACGCCGCGUGAGCGAUGAAGGCUUUCGGGUCGUAAAGCUCUGUCCUGAGGGAAGAAUAGAUGACGGUACCUUAGGAGGAAGCCCCGGCUAACUACGUGCCAGCAGCCGCGGUAAUACGUAGGGGGCAAGCGUUAUCCGGAAUCAUUGGGCGUAAAGGGUGCGUAGGCGGCCAGAAAAGUCAGAGGUGAAAGGCUACGGCUUAACCGUAGUAAGCCUUUGAAACUAUUUGGCUUGAGUGCAGGAGAGGAAAGUGGAAUUCCUAGUGUAGCGGUGGAAAACGUAGAUAUUAGGAGGAACACCAGUGGCGAAGGCGAC